AGCGGUCGAGUCAGUCCAGUAUCUUGUCUGUGUGUGUGUGUGUGCACGUAUACAUACACAGAUAAUCUUUGAUUCUUCCUGAUCGUGAUGCCAGGUUCAACAUUCAUAAAGUGCUGUGCAUGUGGAGGAGACAUCAGGGUGGCACGUCGCAAAUGUGACUUGUGUCGGGCAGCACAGCAACUGAAAAAAAAACUGGAUUCGCAGAAAGAUGAUGACAUCUGGGCUCGAAGCCCCCUUAAGGGAAACAAUGUUGCCAAGGUUCUUAGUACUGCCCAUUUACUGAUCCACAAGCUGGAAAAGCUGGGGAUGGUCCCUUUUGAUCCUUGUGGGACGCCCUAACAAUCCCUCCAUUGUCUGGUCUGAUGGUCUGUGUCCUCAGGGCUUCAAAGACCAACAGGCCAAAACUGUGGAAGAGAUUAAAUUGAUAUUUGACACUGACGUGAAAGGUAUAACUUGGACAGAUAGAUAUACUUUAGUAUUCCAUGCAGAUAGAAAUUUGUUGUCAGCUUUCAUCCAACGCCCCCGAUAUACAUUCACACACAAACAAACAUUACAUUAUGGCCUUUCUCUUACAUUAUUCCAGCUCAGGCACAAUUUAGGCCACUAGAUGGAUACUACGAAAUUGGGGAGAUUUUUUACAUUUGAAUUAAAACAUAUAUAUAUAUUUUUUCAUA
Molecule: long non-coding RNA, 674 nt
Organism: Oncorhynchus tshawytscha (Chinook salmon)
Lineage: Eukaryota; Metazoa; Chordata; Actinopteri; Salmoniformes; Salmonidae
Exons: 3
Source: RefSeq, a predicted model, not a curated record